This 449-nucleotide ribosomal RNA is filed under the name uncultured bacterium. Its description in RNAcentral is "partial 16S ribosomal RNA". It matches the Rfam family "Bacterial small subunit ribosomal RNA", at positions 29 to 523 of the family's 1533-position model. The record is from RNAcentral.
AACGAACGCUGGCGGCAUGCCUAACACAUGCAAGUCGAACGAAGGCCUCGGCCUUAGUGGCGCACGGGUGCGUAACGCGUGGGAAUCUGCCCUUAGGUUCGGAAUAACAGCUGGAAACGGCUGCUAAUACCGGAUGAUAUCGCGAGAUCAAAGAUUUAUCGCCUGAGGAUGAGCCCGCGUUGGAUUAGGUAGUUGGUGGGGUAAAGGCCUACCAAGCCGACGAUCCAUAGCUGGUCUGAGAGGAUGAUCAGCCACACUGGGACUGAGACACGGCCCAGACUCCUACGGGAGGCAGCAGUGGGGAAUAUUGGACAAUGGGCGCAAGCCUGAUCCAGCAAUGCCGCGUGAGUGAUGAAGGCCCUAGGGUUGUAAAGCUCUUUUACCCGGGAAGAUAAUGACUGUACCGGGAGAAUAAGCCCCGGCUAACUCCGUGCCAGCCGCCGCCGUAA